This 2395-nucleotide long non-coding RNA is filed under the name Stylophora pistillata. Its description in RNAcentral is "uncharacterized LOC111327830". Lineage: Eukaryota; Metazoa; Cnidaria; Anthozoa; Scleractinia; Pocilloporidae. The record is from RNAcentral.
AAAAAAGACGAAGAAGAAGACGAAGAAGAAGCAGAAGCAGCAGCUUAAUCUAAAUUGGACUUGAAACAACUAAACAAAAUUUGGUCUAAAAAAAUAUUCAUUUGGAGCUUAGUUGGAACAAUGAAUUUAUUCAUGCUCUUCGUAUUUUGUUUUAAUGAAAAACAUCCUAUUUACCAAUGUCAAUGGACAAUAUGUCAAAUUGGAAUCAACGGGUUUCUUUUUCCUUUAGAACAGUGACAGCGUCAUAGGCUUUUGCCGAAGAUGAGCAUAAACUAUAAACAGUAAAUCUGUCAAAAGUUCACUUAAAAUAAAUUGGCCUCAAUCCGUGUUUACGGUGAGCGUAUUCGCGUUCUGAACAGCCAGGCUUUGGUUAGUUAUAAUUCAUAUGGACAAGAAAAAAUAAAAUCGUUUAAAGUCCAGAUCGAAGUCUGGCAGAGUUAAGCAUUUUCUCCAAAGCCGAUUAAUUCUUUACCUCGCAAGGCAGUCAAAAUUGUUAUCAUUUCAACAACAACAACAACAACCUUUAUUUAUGUGUCAAAUCUAAAAUAGCAGUUAUACAACCACUAACUGGGGACACUAAAUACUACCUAAAAAUUUAAGAAAUUUAAAAAUAAAACAAUAUACAUUUCUCCUUAAGAGCAUAACAUUUUCGUGCACUAAACGCUUUUCUUACUUUAUUGAAGCCGUUGAGCUAUCUCUAACUGUUCUUUUCACGGAGUAAUUGUUAUCCAGUCAAUAAAUAUCAGACAGAACCGGCUCUACACUUCAACCUUGUCUGCAAAGGUGGUUCAUCAAGCUAAAACGAACAACUUAGUCUAUCAUGAGCGAUUGAAAUUAUGCCUUCAACUUCUCCCUGUCACUCCAAAUGCAUAUUUUCAUGCAAAAAGGGGGGUACAAGGUAUCGUUUCAGUACUUAUCUGCCUUUGCUCUUUAAAGCUAGUACCCUAAUUUGGCGACAUAAUGCAUUUGUAGUCCAUUAACAGGAUUAUCCGAAGCUGUCACACUGACACGUCUUUGACGUCACAAACACCUUUCAAUUGAAAAUGCUCAGUAACCUUUCCUGACAGCAGUAAAGAGAUCGCUUGAGCCAAAUCGUCGACACGCGACAGGAGAACGCGCACGGGAAGAUAGCCAAGUUCACUCCUACUGAAAUUUUCACGAUUCGAAGAUAUAUAAAGCAGAAGUGCACGGCUGCACCAUCAUUUGUUAGUUUUCAUGCUCACUCCAAACUUUUCCGAUGUAUUAUUGUUAGUUGCGCUCUUCGCCAACUUAUUGACGAUAGAAGGCCUAAUAAAGUGUCAGUUUUGUGACUCUAAGGAUGGGCCCUGUGACACAGACACAUUUGAAGGAACAAAGCCACGAACAUGUACCAGAUGGUACCAGCACUGCUCCGUUUAUCGAAGGGUCUUGUCGAAUGGAACAACGGCACAUGUUGUAAGAGGCUGUGACAGAGAUUGCAACGAACCCUCUAUGAAGUGGACAUUGGGCAGAUACCAAAAAACAACCCUCUGCAAAUACUGUUGCAGUAGCGACAUGUGUAAUGCAGUGAUAGGCGACCCGUGUAACAAAUCGUUUCUGUUGGUGGCUAAUGGCAUAAUAUGGCUUCCGGCAGUGGUUAUCCUAGAAAUUUUGAUAUAUUCUCCCCCAUGAGUGAACAAUACGUAUAUUCUCCUUCAAUACCGAUACAUCGACAAUUUCUUAGGAAACAGGUGCUGAAAAUAAAGAGGAAUAACAACUGAGGAUAAGCUUUAGAUCCUUAGGACGGGGGGCGGAUCUUGGGGGAGGGCGCAGGGGAUGCGCACCCCCCACCCCUGAGAUGACCUGUGGCUUUCUAAUACAAGUGGUAUUCUGCUAUUACAAUUUGUUUACGUCCGGACAAUUUGUUUACGUCCGGUCACCAACCAGUUACGCCAUUCUUUAGAGGUGCACCCCCACCUCAAAAAUUCCUGGAUCCGCCCAUGCAGGAGCAACUGUACUGCACACCGUAAGGACAACAGACUGCACGCCCUAAUAGUGAAAGGGCUAAUUGAUGACAUAUAAACUCGAGAUCCACUCUAGCAAAUUAACAAUAAGCCACGAAAGUUUCCUUAUGAUUUUCUCGGAAGUACUUGCCGAGAUUUUUCAGGCCCUGUACUUUGGUAUUGUAUCUUCAUGUACUGAGCUGGUACAUCACCACCUGAUAUCAAUGGCUCAUGCCUGACCCUUUUCUUUUUAAAUAUGUCACGAUUUAUAAAUCACUCUUGUUCCUUAACUCAUACUCUCUUGUUAGGUGGCGUUUCUAUCUUUUCGUAUCAAGAAAUUAUACUUUGUUUGUUAUUAUCACUAUUAUCUUUUGUUUUUUAAGCCUAAGGUGAACUUUGAGUGCUGCAAAAAAAAUAUAUAUUGCAUACCGAGA